Stegodyphus mimosarum is the source of this 73-nucleotide non-coding RNA. NCBI's taxonomy places the organism in Eukaryota, Metazoa, Arthropoda, Arachnida, Araneae, Eresidae. The record is from Rfam.
GCCUUCGUGGUGUAAUGGUCAGCACACUGAGCCGGUAUUUCAGAGUUCCGUGGUUCGAUUCCCGGCGAAGGCG